Marmota monax (woodchuck) is the source of this 5768-nucleotide RNA transcript. It is a transcript of the gene named fibroblast growth factor receptor 4, with no coding region annotated. The record is from RefSeq and is a predicted model, not a curated record. The transcript has 19 exons. NCBI's taxonomy places the organism in Eukaryota, Metazoa, Chordata, Mammalia, Rodentia, Sciuridae.
UCGGGGCGGGCUGGCCAGGAGGUGGGCACCCGCGGCCACGCCGCGCUAGCGGGUACAUUCCUGGCUCUCCCGCCUGGGGCGGAGGAGCUGGCGCGCUGAGUCUUCGGACCCCGCCAGGCGCGGGAGUCGUGGACGGCCCAAGCUGGGAGCGGGACGGCGAAGGAGUCAGGUGAACCGGGACCCUGUGCAGGGAACUGAGCCACACAGGAUCUAGGAAGACAGUUGGUGGAAAGUUCAGCCUGGGUCCCUGAGAGCAGCAGGAAGGAGAUGCAGCUGCUGUUGGCCCUGUUUGGAGUCCUGCUGGGGGCACCCAGGGCUCCAGCCUUGAACCUAGAGGCCUCUGAGGAAACGGAGCUGGAGCCCUGCCUGGCCCCCAGCCUGGAGCAGAAAGAGCAGGAGCUGACAGUGGCGCUUGGGCAGCCUCUGAGGCUGUGCUGUGGGAGGGCUGAGCGUGGUGGCCACUGGUAUAAGGAGGGUAGUCGCCUGGCACCUGCUGGCCGAGUUCGGGGCUGGAGGGGCCGCCUGGAGAUUGCCAGCUUUCUACCAGAGGAUGCUGGCCACUACCUCUGCCUAGCACGUGGCUCUAUGACUGUCCUGCACAAUCUCACCUUGGUUGCAGAUGACUCCUUGACCUCCAGCAAUGAUGACAAGGACCCCACGGCCCACAGGGACUCCUCGAAUGUGCACAUUUACCACCAGCAAGCACCCUACUGGACACACCCCCAACGCAUGGAGAAGAAACUGCAUGCGGUGCCUGCUGGGAACACAGUCAAGUUCCGCUGUCCAGCUGCAGGCAACCCUGUGCCCACCAUCCGCUGGCUCAAGGAUGGACAGGACUUCCAUGGGGAAAAUCGCAUAGGAGGCAUUCGACUGCGCCACCAGCACUGGAGCCUGGUGAUGGAAAGUGUGGUGCCCUCGGACCGUGGCACAUACACUUGCCUCGUAGAGAACUCUCUGGGCAGCAUCCGCUACAGCUAUUUGCUGGAUGUGCUGGAGCGGUCCCCGCACCGGCCCAUCCUGCAGGCGGGGCUCCCAGCCAACACCACAGCUGUGGCGGGCAGUGAUGUGGAGCUGUUGUGCAAGGUGUACAGCGAUGCCCAGCCCCACAUCCAGUGGCUGAAGCACAUCGUCAUCAAUGGCAGCAGCUUCGGAGCUGACGGCUUCCCCUAUGUGCAAGUCCUCAAGACAGCAGACAUUAACAGCUCAGAGGUGGAGGUCCUUUACCUCCGGAAUGUGUCGGCUGAGGAUGCAGGCGAGUACACCUGCUUGGCAGGCAACUCCAUUGGCCUCUCCUACCAGUCAGCCUGGCUCACGGUGCUGCCAGAAGAGGACCUCACGUGGACAGCAACAGUGCCAGAGGCCAGGUAUACAGACAUCAUCCUGUAUGCAUCAGGCUCCCUGGCUUUAGCUGUGCUCCUGCUGCUGGCUGGGCUGUAUCGCGGGCAGGCACUCCACAGCCAGCACUCCCGCCAGCCUGCCACCGUGCAAAAGCUGUCCCGAUUCCCUUUGGGCCGACAGUUCUCCCUGGAGUCGGGCUCCUCAGGCAAAUCAAGCUCAUCCCUGGUGCGAGGCGUCCGGCUCUCCUCCAGCGGCCCUCCCUUGCUCGCUGGCCUCGUGAAUCUAGACCUUCCUCUUGAUCCGCUGUGGGAGUUCCCCCGGGACAGGCUGGUGCUCGGGAAGCCCCUAGGCGAGGGCUGCUUCGGGCAGGUGGUGCGCGCAGAAGCCUUCGGCAUGGACCCUGCCCAGCCUGACCAAACCAGCACUGUGGCUGUCAAGAUGCUCAAAGACAAUGCCUCCGACAAGGACCUGGCGGACCUGGUCUCUGAGAUGGAAGUGAUGAAGCUAAUCGGCCAACACAAGAACAUCAUAAAUCUGCUGGGUGUCUGCACCCAGGAAGGUCCCCUAUAUGUGAUCGUGGAGUGUGCUGCCAAAGGAAACCUUCGGGAGUUCCUCCGGGCCCGCCGCCCCCCAGGCCCUGACCUCAGCCCUGAUGGGCCCCGGAGCAGUGAGGGGCCUCUCUCCUUCCCAGCUCUGGUCUCCUGCGCCUAUCAGGUGGCCCGAGGCAUGCAGUAUUUGGAGUCUCGGAAGUGCAUCCACCGGGACCUAGCUGCCCGUAAUGUUCUGGUAACUGAAGACAAUGUGAUGAAGAUCGCCGACUUUGGGCUAGCCCGCGGUGUGCACCACAUUGACUACUAUAAGAAAACCAGCAAUGGCCGCCUGCCAGUAAAGUGGAUGGCACCAGAGGCCUUAUUUGACCGAGUAUACACGCACCAGAGUGAUGUGUGGUCAUUUGGGAUCCUGCUGUGGGAGAUCUUCACACUUGGAGGCUCCCCGUAUCCUGGUAUCCCUGUAGAAGAAUUGUUCUCAUUGCUACGGGAAGGACAUCGAAUGGACCGGCCCCCAAACUGCCCCCCAGAGCUGUAUGGACUGAUGCGUGAGUGCUGGCAUGCAGCACCUUCUCAGAGGCCCACUUUCAAGCAGCUGGUGGAAGCACUGGAUAAGGUCCUGCUGGCCGUCUCUGAGGAGGGUACCCCAUCUCACAGAUGACACCAGCCCAGAAAACCGGAAGUCACCUUGACCACCUUCCUUCCUCCAGGAAUUGUAUUCCCUAACAGGAGCCCCGUCAGAUGAAGAUUAUUCUUCCAUUUAAUGGUGGUGACAUUGAGGGAUAUGCCUGCUGUGGUGGCACACCUCUGGUCCUGGCUAAUCAAGAGGCUGAGGAAGGAGAAUUGCUUAAGCUCAGGAGUCACAGUGAGACCCCAUUACAACAAAACAAACAAACAAAAACAACAAAAAAACAAACUUUGGGGUUGGGGUUAUAACUCAGUGGUAGACCACCCGAAUAGCAUGCACACGCACAAAGCCCUCAUUGCAAUCCUCAACACUGAAGAACAACAACAACAACAAAAAAGAAUAGGUCUCGAUAAAGAAGCUGGGCCAACACCCUUGGUUCCCAGCAGGCUCUGUGUACAUUGGAGACCAGACCAGGUCACUCAGAGUGACAGGGGCAGCUGCUGCCUGGUAGUUCCUAGAGGCCAGGAGGGACCCAGCUGCCUACUCUGUGCCCCCUCCCUGCCAGCCUCCCUGGCAGGCACACACUCUGGGACUCUUCCACAUUCCUGACAUCCCAUGUCAGGAGACAGAUGCUGGUAAUUCCCUGGUGCAAGCUUUGCUCAUCCAUCUCGCCUGCCCUCCCCAGCCUCUCUGGGCAGCAUGGCUACAGCUGGGGCCUGGCCCCCUUGGUCUGCCUGAGUUCUGAGCGGCUUCCAAGCCAGUGAAAAGCACUGGUCCUCCUUCCAGAUUCUGAUACUUGCUGGCUGCUUGUAUCUGUCAGGGCUCUGAGGAGAACAAGAGAGAGACAGUCACCCUGAUGUGGAAAGCCCCUGCCAAGGGACAGGAGACAGCUGGCUGGUGAAUGGGCACCUGGGAGGAAGGGUCAGAUUGUGCAUGGGGUGAGAGGAAUGAUACUGUGACAGAAGUUACCCUCCCUGAGCCUCCAUUUUCCUACCCGAAACACAGGAGUGAAUGACGACACCCACUCAGAGUGCUUGUAAGUGCUUAGUAAACAACAGCUGUUAUUGCACGGAGAUUAGGAGGGAAUGGCCUCCAGGACCCUGUGGCUGGCUGUGCAGAGCUGGUGAUCUCAUUCCCUUCUCAGGGCAGCCCUUCCAGAAAGGCAUGGUUGUUCCCAUUUCCCAGAUGAGGACACUGAGGCUUAAAAGGAGGAAGUAACUAGCUGAAGGACACAUGGCAAGGGGAGUAGGAGGAUUGGUGCUCAGGGCCAGGGGCUUUCUUCCACUGCAAAGCUCAUUCCAACACCCUGGGUAGGUACAAAAUAGGGGAGGUCUAUUUACAGGAUGCCCACACAUGGGGUACAUGGACAGUCCAAAUGCUCAAGCACGUAUGUGCCUAGCCCUAUGACCUUCAGCCCCUGUCAUCUCAGAGCCCUCACACAGGCUUUUUUUUUUCCCUGGGGACACUUUUCCUCUUAACACCAAGCCUACUCUUUCCAGAGCUCAUUCAAACCUCAGUCCUCAGGGCAGCCUCCUCGGGUCUUCCCCCCAUUCCAGAUCAGCUUCUAGACUGAGUCUCCCUCACUCAGGGGCUCUUAUCAGUGUAAUGAAAGCAUCACCCAAGGGGCUGGGGUUGUGGCUCAGUGGUAUAGCACUAGCCUAGCACAUGUGAGGCCCUGGGUUCGAUCCUCAGCACCACAUAAGAAUAAAUAAAAUAAAGGUAUUGUCUAACUACAACUAAAAAAUAAAUAUUAAAAAAAGAAAAGGAUUCCCCAAAUUGCACCUACCAGGAAGCAAGCACUGUUCAGACAGAGGAUGUGCGUUUUUUGUGUGGUGCUAAGAAACCCUGGGCCUCACACAUGCUUAUCUUCUGCUCUACCACAGACCUAAAGCCCAGCCACUAGAUAGUGAUUUUUGUUUUUGUUUUUUUUUUUAAUAUUUAUUCUUAAGUUUUAGGUGAACACACUAUUUUUAUUUUACAUUUAUGUGGUGCUGAGGAUGGAACCCAGUGCCUCGUGCAUGCUAGGCAAGCACUGAAUCAUGAGCCACAACCCCAGCCUGGUGAUUUUGGUUUUUUUUUUUCAAGCAAUCAUUCUGAAACUGUAGCAUAUAUCUUAAUGACCCAGAGGGCCCCCACCUCACAAGUUUAUAUUUAGUACCUCUGGAGAGAAGUUUAGGAAUUUAUACUUCUAACCAGUUCCUGGGUGAUACAAAUGUUACUGGAGACAUGGGGGCUUUGCACUUUGGGAACAAGUUGGAUUUCAAGCACCAAAAUUAAUCAAUUAAUUAAAAAUUUUAAAGUAAGUCAGGUGCAGUGAUGUACACCUGUAAUCCCAGCAACUUGGAGAACUGAGGCAGGAGGAUUGCAAGUUCAAAGCCAGCCUCAACAACUUAGCAAGGCCCUGAUCAACUUAACAAAAAAAGGACUGAGACUGUGCUCAGUGGUUAUGUGCUCCUGGGUUCAAUCGAAGAAGAAGAAAGAAGAAAGAAGAAGGGAGAAGAAGGAGGAGGAGAAGAAGGAGGAGGAGGAGAAGGAGAAGAAGAGUUUUGAAGUAAAAAUAAAAAAGAAUUCAUUGUCCAAAAAUGUUUUCAAUGAAGAACAGGAUGCAGCUCAGUGGGUAGAGCACUUGCCUGGCAUGCAUGAAGGCCCUGGGUUUGAUCCCCAGCACUAGGAAAAUAAAAAUGUUCUCAAUGAAAAUAAACCCAAACCCUUGCUCCUCCUCUCUUCCUUCCCCAAGAGAAACUCUCUCCAUUUUCUCAGUCUUCCUGCCAGAUUCCUCCUCUAAACCUCAGUGUCCUCAUCUGGAAAUGGGGGACAAAAAUGCCUUCCUGUAAGGACAGCCAUGAGAAGAGCAUGAAAUCACAUCCAGUUUAGUUGUCACUGUCCUUGCCCACCCCCCCAGACCCUCAUCCAGGUAUGUGGUAGCACACACCUGUAAUCCCAGUGACUUGGGAGGCUGAGGCAGGAGGAUCACAAACUCUAGACCAGCCUCAGCAACUUAGCAAGACCCUCUACCACUGAGCUAUAAAAAAAUAAAAGGGGCUGGGGAUGUGGCUUCUUUGGUUUAGUGCCCUGAAUUCAAUCCCCAGUACCCAAAAAAGAGUGUCUGUUGACAAAAGAGAUGAAGGUGACCCAUUCCCAGGUCCAGGCACAGUUAAAAGCACAGUCAAGACUAUACAUACUUGGGCUGGGGUUGUAGCUCAGUGGUAGAGCCUUGCCUAGCACGUGUGAGGCAUUGGGUUUAAUCUUCUGCA